RNAcentral lists this ribosomal RNA (1302 nucleotides) under metagenome. Its description in RNAcentral is "bacterial LSU rRNA". It matches the Rfam family "Bacterial large subunit ribosomal RNA", at positions 1633 to 2925 of the family's 2925-position model. The record is from RNAcentral.
CCUACACGACCGUACCGCAAACCGACACUGGUGCGCGAGAUGAGUAUUCUAAGGCGCUUGAGAGAACUCAGGAGAAGGAACUCGGCAAAUUGACACCGUAACUUCGGAAGAAGGUGUGCCUCUAGUAGGUGAAGGGAUUUACUCCCCUAGCCCAAUGAGGUUGCAAAAAAUCGGUGGCUGCGACUGUUUAAUAAAAACACAGCACUCUGCAAACACGAAAGUGGACGUAUAGGGUGUGACGCCUGCCCGGUGCUGGAAGAUUAAAUGAUGGGGUGCAAGCUCUUGAUUGAAGUCCCAGUAAGCGGCGGCCGUAACAAUAACGGUCCUAAGGUAGCGAAAUUCCUUGUCGGGUAAGUUCCGACCUGCACGAAUGGCGUAACGAUGGCCACGCUGUCUCCUCCUGAGACUCAGCGAAGUUGAAAUGUUUGUGAUGAUGCAAUCUCCCCGCGGAAAGACGGAAAGACCCCAUGAACCUUUACUGUAGCUUUGUAUUGGACUUUGAACAGAUCUGUGUAGGAUAGGUGGGAGGCUUUGAAGCAGGGUCGCUAGAUCUUGUGGAGCCAACGUUGAAAUACCACCCUGGUGUGUUUGAGGUUCUAACCUAGGCCCGUUAUCUGGGCUGGGGACAGUGCAUGGUAGGCAGUUUGACUGGGGCGGUCUCCUCCCAAAGCGUAACGGAGGAGUUCGAAGGUACGCUAGUUACGGUCGGACAUCGUGACGAUAGUGCAAUGGCAUAAGCGUGCUUAACUGCGAGACUGACAAGUCGAGCAGAUGCGAAAGCAGGACAUAGUGAUCCGGUGGUUCUGUAUGGAAGGGCCAUCGCUCAACGGAUAAAAGGUACUCUGGGGAUAACAGGCUGAUACCGCCCAAGAGUUCAUAUCGACGGCGGUGUUUGGCACCUCGAUGUCGGCUCAUCUCAUCCUGGGGCUGUAGCCGGUCCCAAGGGUAUGGCGGUUCGCCAUUUAAAGAGGUACGUGAGCUGGGUUUAAAACGUCGUGAGACAGUUUGGUCCCUAUCUUCCGUGGGCGCUGCAGAUUUGAGGAAGCCUGCUCCUAGUACGAGAGGACCGGAGUGGACACACCUCUGGUGUAUCGGUUGUCACGCCAGUGGCAUUGCCGAGUAGCUAAGUGUGGAAGAGAUAACCGCUGAAAGCAUCUAAGCGGGAAACUCGUUUCAAGAUGAGAUCUGCCGGGGCCUUGAGCCCCCUGAAGAGUCGUUCAAGACCAGGACGUUGAUAGGUCAGGUGUGGAAGCGCAGUAAUGCGUUAAGCUAACUGAUACUAAUUGCUCGUGCGGCUUGAUC